GAAUUAGUAGCUCAGUGGAAGUAGCAUGUGACUACGAAUCACAAGGUCAGGGGUUCGAAUCCCUUCUAAUUCG
Molecule: transfer RNA, 73 nt
Filed under: Dinophyceae sp. MGD
Lineage: Eukaryota; Dinophyceae
Description: tRNA-Arg
Rfam family: tRNA
About the family: Transfer RNA (tRNA) molecules are approximately 80 nucleotides in length. Their secondary structure includes four short double-helical elements and three loops (D, anti-codon, and T loops).
Source: RNAcentral